RNAcentral lists this long non-coding RNA (206 nucleotides) under Manihot esculenta (cassava). Its description in RNAcentral is "long non-coding RNA (MESC_LNC001205)". The record is from RNAcentral. Lineage: Eukaryota; Viridiplantae; Streptophyta; Magnoliopsida; Malpighiales; Euphorbiaceae.
UAAACCUGGAAGCUCAUCUGAAAAGACAUCCUGAAACUCUCUGACAACUGGCACCGAGGCCGGCUCCCUGACCUGACUGUCUAGCUCUCUCACAUGAGCUAAGUACCCCUGACAUCCCUUCCUAAGCAACCUACGAGCCUGAAGAGCUGAUAUCAGACCUCUAGGUGUGCCCCUCAUGUCUCCUCUGAAGACGACCUCUGACCCGN